Molecule: transfer RNA, 76 nt
Filed under: Verrucomicrobiales bacterium
Lineage: Bacteria; Pseudomonadati; Verrucomicrobiota; Verrucomicrobiia; Verrucomicrobiales
Also listed under: 2 other names
Description: tRNA-Val
Rfam family: tRNA
About the family: Transfer RNA (tRNA) molecules are approximately 80 nucleotides in length.
Source: RNAcentral
GGGCGAUUAGCGCAGUGGCUAGCGCAUCUCCCUUACACGGAGGUGGUCGCAGGUUCGAAUCCUGCAUCGCCCACCA